UCAGCCUCUCUGGUAGGACUGUGGUAGGGGGCCUAGGAGGGAGCCCCUGCUUUCUGUCCACUUGCUAUGCUGCCCUGGGCAUCUCACUGCCCUCUCUGGACUUUGGUUUCCUCUUACCUGCUUUCAGGGUACUCCAUCCUUGAGACUCAUGGUUGAAUCUCCACGUCUGGCUCAGGCCCUAACAUGCAGUAGGCACCACUGGCUGCUUGCUGGUGAAGGAGAGGAGUCCCAACCCAGCCGGCCGGUGAGGAUCCUUUGGGGAGCUGGGGUGUUAGCAGGACUCCUGUUCACCAUUGGAUGGCUCCCUUGCAUGGUUCUUGGUUCACCUCAGCUAUCACCUUGAAGAGGCAUUGUCUCGCUGACCAGGUGGUUUCCAAGUAUCCUCACCCCCUUUCCUCAGUGUCCAACUGCUUUAUUUUCCUAGCAACACCCACCACUAUCUGAAGGUAACAUCUGCUGUUCUUGUUUAUGGCUUGUCUCCCCUAAAAUGCACAUGCCCCUCUCCGUAAGGGCCUCCCACCAUGCCUUGUGCCCUGGUGCAGAGCAGGGGCUCAGAGAAGACCACAAGCCACCGUCCGACGUGGGGUCGGGCGUUAGCUGGCUAAGGUACACAGGAAGUGGCCUAUGAAAAGCACGCAUGCUGCAGGGGACAGAGCACGAAAACCCUUUAUACUUUGAGGAACAAGUUGAUUUGGUUCAGUCCAUUCAUCCAUGGAAAUCACAAAAAGCAAACACAGACACACACACAUACGGACAUGUGCACAGAGACACACAGACACACGCACGUAGGGCCUGAAGCUCGCUUAGCUAUCUGCCUUCCUGUCCCUGAGCAAAGGCUGGGUGGGCCAGGCGGGGCAGCUCUGGGAAGGGCCCCGGGGCUGACAUGAGGCCUUGUCAGAGACCAGGGAAAGGUUCUGGAGGCUUUUUUCUCCCAAAGGCUAGAGCUCCAGUGAACCAAUGUACAAUAUGUCAGGUGGUAAUAAGAAUGAUGUCGAAAAAUAAAAUUGGUACAGCAGAGAGGGUGAGGUGAGGGCCAUUUAUACAGGGUGGUCAGGGAAGAGCCCUGAGAAAAUGACGUUUGGCUAGAAACGUGCACAUGAGGAGGUCUGGGAGCGUUUGGGCAGGGGACCAGAAGUGUCAAGGCCCUGGGGUGGGAGCGUGUCUGGCUGGUUCCUCAAGCUGGAAUUGCGUGAGGGGGAGAUAUCGGGGUGGGGCAGCCCACAUGAGGCCCGCAGCCGUAAGCGGACUAGGAACAGAGAGGGACAUGGUGGUCUCAGGACAGGGAAGACUGGCUUGGGGCUGUGUGGACGCAGCGACAGCGGUGCAGCCAGUUAAGGGUGGGAGGUGGCGGCUCGGACCCGGGCGGGGUGGGCCCCCCGGGUCUUGGCUCAGACGCGUCCUAAAGUAGAAUAAGGAUCCGCCGUGGGUAGGAGAAAGGGAGGGCCCCGGCGGGUCUGGGUGCUGUGGUUCAGGGGUCGCCAGUACACACAGAGCCACAGGUGGGUGUGCCCAAAGCACCGGGAGGGGAUGGGUGGCAGGGCCGAGACCUGGGCCCUGGGACCUCUGCCCCUGAGGCCAGGAGGCGUGUGGCAGGUCAGGUGAACAGAGGAGGAACACCACGACCCAGGAGGCCACGUGGGCCUGCCGCCAGUGCGGCCCACAGGCUGACCGCAGGUGGUCUUACCCCCACGGCCCUGGUGUGGGGGUGGUGAGGCUGGCAGGAGUCCUGCGUGACGCAGAGGGUGGUGGGGAUCAAGGGCAGACGUGACUUUCGAGGAGCUAUGUGUGCGAGAGAGUAGAGGAAUGGGCCGAUGGCUCGGGACAAGGCAGGACCAACCGCCCGUUCAGCCCAGGGAGGGCGCGUGGAUGCGGAGCUCUGGGUUUUCUAGGACGCCCCAGCGGGAGUAUGUCCCCAGGCUGCCGUCCAAGGAAAUCUGCCGGGGAGGCCCUGCAGGGGUGAGGGGAAGGUGAUGGGCUGCAGGGGUGGGGGUGGCAUUCCCAGUGGGUUGUGGAGGGAGGGGUUUUCCGGGCAGAGAGAUGGCAAGCGGCUGGGCAUGGGAUGUGGAUGCUGGGUCUUUGGGUUCUUUGUGGCUGGGUCCCUGGGGGCAGGCAGCAUGGGAGACGCCAUGGCUCUAAAGUGCUGGGGGCAGCCGGGACGUCUGCCGGUCUCUCCGCGGUCCUGGGUAAAGUGCAGAGGAGGCAAGCCUCGCACCCUGAACCUUGCCCGGAUGUGCGAGACUGCCAGCAGGCCUGGCUGAGGGGUCACCGUUCAUACACGGCUGCUUUCAGUGACUGGAGGGGAGGCCCGGGAGGAACGGCAGUGUAGGAGAGCAUAAUGCUGCCUGUUGAAUGAGGGACGGAGGACGGCGUGGAGGAGCCCAUACGGCCGUCAUCUGUGAUGUGGGGCCCCCACCACCAGGACGAGGGUGCGGAAGACGCUUUGGGGUUUGCAUAACAGGGUGAGGAGACAGAGAGGCUGGAGAAAGACCGUCCUGGGUGCUGCAGGCCCAUCCGCGGAGGAUGACUGCUUUUCCUGCCCAAAUGGCUGGAGAACAUUCCAGAAGGGACCAGGAGGGAGGCCCAGAGGGACCCACCCACUGGGUACUGGCACCUACCUCUCUCAGAUCCUUGGUGUUUUCCUAAGGAUUACUCAUCCCGGACCCAGCAGGGAGGCUCCUGGGGCUGUUUACUACAGGCCAGCCUUGGCCACAGGCUAUUCUGGGAGCUGGGGGUGGACAGGCAGCAGGGAGAAGGGGCAGGUCAUGGCCUCCACCGGUCACCUGUGUCCAGGCAUCAUGGGGUGUGCGGUUUGAACCCGUGUCUGCUGCCACCAGGGAACGUGGAACUGGACUUGGCGGGCUGGAGUGAUGGGGUAAUGGGCCCAGCAGAGCUUGCACGGGGAAGUUCCACCUCCCGAGAGAUGCCCCCACGGGAAAGGGUAAGUGGAGACCUGUGUCCUCUGAGCUGGCUUUCAGGGACUCCUGGGGUGGCUCGGAGCAGGGGAUGGGGAAGCGUCCAGUGGACAAGGCGGGGCCUCUGGCUCCUGUACUCUGGGCCACAAGGCCAUAGCCUGCGGGGUCUUUGGAAAAUAGAGCUCUUUGUUCUAAUUUAAAGCAACAGGUCAAGAAGCCAAAAAGGAACAAAUAAAACAGUAAAAAAGCUUGA
Molecule: long non-coding RNA, 3165 nt
Organism: Ailuropoda melanoleuca (giant panda)
Lineage: Eukaryota; Metazoa; Chordata; Mammalia; Carnivora; Ursidae
Exons: 2
Source: RefSeq, a predicted model, not a curated record